GAUGAACGCUGGCGGCGUGCCUAAUACAUGCAAGUCGAGCGAACAGACGAGGAGCUUGCUCCUCUGACGUUAGCGGCGGGCGGGUGAGUAACACGUGGAUAACCUACCUAUAAGACUGGGAUAACUUCGGGAAACCGGAGCUAAUACCGGAUAAUAUAUUGAACCGCAUGGUUCAAUAGUGAAAGACGGUUUUGCUGUCACUUAUAGAUGGAUCCGCGCCGCAUUAGCUAGUUGGUAAGGUAACGGCUUACCAAGGCAACGAGGCGUAGCCGACCUGAGAGGGUGAUCGGCCACACUGGAACUGAGCCACGGUCCAGACUCCUACGGGAGGCAGCAGUAGGGAAUCUUCCGCAAUGGGCGAAAGCCUGACGGAGCAACGCCGCGUGAGUGAUGAAGGUCUUCGGAUCGUAAAACUCUGUUAUUAGGGAAGAACAAAUGUGUAAGUAACUAUGCACGUCUUGACGGUACCUAAUCAGAAAGCCACGGCUAACUACGUG
This 497-nucleotide ribosomal RNA is filed under the name uncultured bacterium. RNAcentral describes it as "partial 16S ribosomal RNA". It matches the Rfam family "Bacterial small subunit ribosomal RNA", at positions 28 to 507 of the family's 1533-position model. The record is from RNAcentral.